UGGGGGAUCGUCUAGCGGUAGGACGCCGGGUUCUGGCCCCGGUAGCGGGGGUUCGAAUCCUCCUCCCCCAA
Molecule: transfer RNA, 71 nt
Filed under: Thermoleophilia bacterium
Lineage: Bacteria; Bacillati; Actinomycetota; Thermoleophilia
Also listed under: 1 other name
Description: tRNA-Gln
Rfam family: tRNA
About the family: Transfer RNA (tRNA) molecules are approximately 80 nucleotides in length.
Source: RNAcentral